RNAcentral lists this ribosomal RNA (480 nucleotides) under uncultured bacterium. Its description in RNAcentral is "partial 16S ribosomal RNA". It matches the Rfam family "Bacterial small subunit ribosomal RNA", at positions 28 to 523 of the family's 1533-position model. The record is from RNAcentral.
GACGAACGCUGGCGGCGUGCUUAACACAUGCAAGUCGAGCGGUAAGGCCCUUUCGGGGGUACACGAGCGGCGAACGGGUGAGUAACACGUGGGUGAUCUGCCCUGCACUUCGGGCUACGCCUGGGAAACUGGGUCUAAUACCGGAUAUGACCACUGAUCGAAUGGUUGGUGGUGGAAAGGUUUACUGGUGCAGGAGGGGCCCGCGGCCUAUCAGCUUGUUGGUGGGGUAAUGGCCUACCAAGGCGACGACGGGUAGCCGACCUGAGAGGGUGACCGGCCACACUGGGACUGAGACACGGCCCAGACUCCUACGGGAGGCAGCAGUGGGGGAUAUUGCACAAUGGGCGAAAGCCUGAUGCAGCGACGCCGCGUGAGGGAUGACGGCCUUCGGGUUGUAAACCUCUUUCAGCAGGGACGAAGCGCAAGUGACGGUACCUGCAGAAGAAGCACCGGCCAACUACGUGCCAGCAGCCGCAGUAA